UGUCAUUCUGAUGACUUCCUUUUGGGUAGUUUCCUUGCUUCCUCUGUUACUUACUUUUGUUAGGAAAUCUGGGGACUCAAAAACUGGUUAGACAACUGAGAAUUCUGAUUCCUUCUUGUCCGCUGUUGAUGUUUCGCCUACUGGCAUCUGCAUCUGCUGCCUUGUACCUUGUACCACUUUCCUGGUGAACUCCUCAGCAUGAGCAGCGAAGGAAAGAGGUUAAGAAGGACAGUUCCCUGCUCUCUGGGACAGGGAAGCUGAGCAGCGUGUUGCGGGACAUCAUCUGUCAGGUGUCACAGUGACGCAGGCAGUGUGCACAUCGGUGCGCACCAACCAAAUGGGGCUCAUUCUCAGCGUGGC
Molecule: ribozyme, 360 nt
Organism: Cavia aperea (Brazilian guinea pig)
Lineage: Eukaryota; Metazoa; Chordata; Mammalia; Rodentia; Caviidae
Rfam family: RNase MRP
About the family: RNase MRP is an enzymatically active ribonucleoprotein with two distinct roles in eukaryotes. In mitochondria it plays a direct role in the initiation of mitochondrial DNA replication. In the nucleus it is involved in precursor rRNA processing, where it cleaves the internal transcribed spacer 1 between 18S and 5.8S rRNAs.
Source: Ensembl